This 1166-nucleotide long non-coding RNA is filed under the name Brachypodium distachyon (stiff brome). RNAcentral describes it as "long non-coding RNA (BDIS_LNC004101)". The stretch from base 474 to 598 matches the Rfam family "MIR1120/MIR1122 microRNA precursor family". The record is from RNAcentral. Lineage: Eukaryota; Viridiplantae; Streptophyta; Magnoliopsida; Poales; Poaceae.
UUGAUUUCGCGGCAACUGUCAUAGUGUCAUGCUGAGGCUUCCGUUCUGCUAUAGCGGCCGCGCUAUUUAUUUCUAUGAUAUGAAGUUCUUUUAGAUGAUGAUGCAUGUGUGUGACCUUGGCUUGUUCCAUAUGCACUGCAGCCGUGUUGUGGCUAUUGCCCAGAUGGGGUCAUCGCCAUCCUCUGGUCAGGCGAGUCCUAGAGCAGGGCAAACCCAGCUCCAACACCGGCACAAGAAAGCCUACAAAGCUGAUGCUAGGAAAAUAGCCUUGUGGUUGCUGGUCAUCCACGACAUGGACAACCUCCGCAACAAACGCCUCUAGCAAACACUUCUGGAGGCUUAGAUCUCUGACAAAAAUCGCAUCCGUGGGUCUCUUUAUGUUAUUCCGUUUUAACAAAUAGAAUCUCUGUGCAUCUUGUUUUGGCCUUUCAGUGCCACGUGGUAGUUGACAGCCAUUGCAGUAGCCACUCGUCUUAUUACUCCCUCCGACCCGUAUUACUUGUCGAAAUAUUACGUGUAUCUAGACGUUUUUUAAACAUAGAUACAUUCAUAUUUAGGCAAAUUUGAGACAAGUAAUAUGGGUCGGAGGGAGUAGUUCAUUUGACAUGCCGAUGCUUACUUAUCUUCAUCCUAAUCCUUGUUGGGUUUUGCUUGAAAAACAGAAAUGCCUUUAAGCAAGGAUAGCAGGCCGCAGGAUCUUGGAUUAUCUAUGCCAGUGACAUGCGCUGAUGGGAACCACCAAGGAAGAUCAGUGAGCUGUAUUUGCUUCCUACCUGAUAGCCAAAACUUUAUAAAUUGGGAGUCUAGAAUCGAAAUUUUCUUGUUUGUUGAGUAGCAGUAAGCGGCGGAGCAGGAUACGGUAUGGAACUGGAUUAGGAGAUGCUAUGAUUUGUACUGGAUUAGGAUUAGGCUAUGUUACUGUUUUGUAACUGCAGCAGAUGAUGCUAUCUAUGAUAAAACCCUUGUUGUUUGUGCUGGAUUAGGAUCUGUUAUGUUCUGCUCGAGAUCUUCCUUCCAUGGUCUUGGGUAGUCUGGUCUGCUCUGCCUGUGUUGCAGUCUGAUGUUGCUUGCUUUGGCAUUGCUGCAUGUGUCUAGUUGGUUGCAAAUAGGAUUUCAAUUAUCUAAUGAUUAGAUCAAAGUUAACUAUUUAUGUCGAUGCCCAGGCG